UAGAGUUUGAUCAUGGCUCAGGAUGAACGCUAGCGGCGCGCUUAACACAUGCAAGUCGCGCGAUCGGACCGGACCUGAUUCCUUCGGGAUGACGGAUCGGUUACGGAGCGGCGGACUGGUGAGUAACACGUAGCUAACCUCCCUUCGGGCGGAAAAUAGCAUCGGGAAACUGAUGUUAAUAUUCCAUAACAUAAGAGGACUUCAGGUCCUCUUAUCAAAGUGGUUUAGGCCAUACCUGAAGAUGGGGCUGCGUCCUAUUAGCUAGACGGUGAGGUAAAGGCUCACCGUGGCGAUGAUAGGUAGGGGGCCUGAGAGGGCGAUCCCUCACACUGGGACUGAGACACGGCCCAGACUCCUACGGGAGGCUGCAGUGGGGAAUCUUGCGCAAUGGUCGCAAGGCUGACGCAGCGACGCCGCGUGGAGGACGAAGGCCUUCGGGUUGUAAACUCCUUUUCUGGGGGACGAAUAAGGUCAGUAGGUAAUGGCUGACCGAUGACGGUACCCCAGGAACAAGCGCCGGCUAACUUCGUGCCAGCAGCCGCGGUAAUACGAAGGGCGCAAGCGUUAUCCGGAAUUACUGGGCGUAAAGGGCGUCUAGGCGGUUGGUCAAGUCAGUCGUGAAAGUCC
Molecule: ribosomal RNA, 627 nt
Filed under: uncultured bacterium
Lineage: Bacteria
Description: bacterial SSU rRNA
Rfam family: Bacterial small subunit ribosomal RNA
Source: RNAcentral